UUUAUUUGAGAGUUUGAUCCUGGCUCAGGAUGAACGCUGGCGGCGUGCCUAACACAUGCAAGUUGAGCGAUUUACUUCGGUAAAGAGCGGCGGACGGGUGAGUAACGCGUGGGUAACCUACCCUGUACACACGGAUAACAUACCGAAAGGUAUGCUAAUACGGGAUAAUAUAUUUGAGAGGCAUCUCUUGAAUAUCAAAGGUGAGCCAGUACAGGAUGGACCCGCGUCUGAUUAGCUAGUUGGUAAGGUAACGGCUUACCAAGGCAACGAUCAGUAGCCGACCUGAGAGGGUGAUCGGCCACAUUGGAACUGAGACACGGUCCAAACUCCUACGGGAGGCAGCAGUGGGGAAUAUUGCACAAUGGGCGAAAGCCUGAUGCAGCAACGC
RNAcentral lists this ribosomal RNA (388 nucleotides) under Clostridioides difficile. Its description in RNAcentral is "bacterial SSU rRNA". It matches the Rfam family "Bacterial small subunit ribosomal RNA", at positions 1 to 397 of the family's 1533-position model. The record is from RNAcentral. Lineage: Bacteria; Bacillati; Bacillota; Clostridia; Peptostreptococcales; Peptostreptococcaceae.